This is a long non-coding RNA of Lathyrus oleraceus (garden pea), 1038 nucleotides long. RefSeq lists it as uncharacterized. NCBI's taxonomy places the organism in Eukaryota, Viridiplantae, Streptophyta, Magnoliopsida, Fabales, Fabaceae. The record is from RefSeq and is a predicted model, not a curated record. The transcript is spliced from 2 exons.
CACAAUUAGGCCCAUACAAAAACACAAGCAAAGCCCCUGGGGUUAGGGAUUUGAUUCCCCUAACCUUAUACUACAUACCAGUAAGUUUUACACGGAUAAACCAUGAAGAAGAAGAUGAAGACUUAUCAGAGAAGACGCAAAGCACCAGAAUCAGGUUCAAUGGUCCUCAUGUUGCAGGCAUCUAGUUUGUACUUAGUUUUGACUGCUGCAUGUUCACUUGCCAUGGCUGCUAUUGCUUUGGUAUAUUGAAAGAUCAAUGGUUUGCUGCAUGGCCUAAUGCAAGCAUGUUGUGUGCAAUGUCUGAUAUAAGGUCAUGACUGGCAAGUCUGGUUGGCUAAUGUGGUUUGCAGCAAGUCUUGGAUAAUUGCGGUUUUGUGUUCAUGACUGCAAGUCUUGGUAUGCAGGCAAGAUGUUUGUUUCUUGGAAUGAUGCAAGGCUUAGAAGUUUAUGCCAUUGCUUGGUCUGAUUCAUGUUAUGUGGCUUGGCAUGUUGGCCAAUUGGUUUUAAUGUAGGUCCACUUGUAUUGCAUACAAGAUGUUUGUUGUAAGUUCAGGCCUUGGGCUCACUUGGUGUAAGUCUUGGUUCUUGGCUUUGAUGUUGCAAGCAUGAGUGGUAUGGAAUUUGGUGAUGGUUUUUUGGUGCAAGCUUACUCAAUGGCAAGGUUUGACAUGGUUGUUGCUUCAUGUGUGCUGGUCUGCUGCAAAGUCCAUUUGGUGGUUUGUGACCUGGUCCAUCUGGUGGUCUGACCUGGUCAUGGACCAAGGUACUUGGCCAUGAAGAAAUCAAACGAAAGCAUGGAUUUUGUUGAUGACUCAAGGCAAGAUAGAUGGAAAUAGGUCUUAGGGGGUCUAGGGAGGGUCGGUUGACUUUGGUCAACUAGUUUACAAAAAAGUCAAUUGUUGACCAAAAGUCAAUUGUAGUCAAUGUUGGCCAAAUUUAAAUUUUUGUACGAAUAUGGACAUUCUUGUAAUGAAAUGAACAAUUCGUGAAUGGAAAUUAUAUUUGUAAUGAAAUUGAAUAAUAUUGUAUGGUAUUGAA